CGUUUUUCUGUCUUAGUAGAUAAUGGAUUGUUUUUGUGGUGCUUCCUUUAGGGAUCAGAGGAAGUUCUGAGUGAGUAGCGUCCGGAAAGAAUGUGCUUUUGUUGAAGUGGGCAGGACCGUGACCCAAAACAUACCAGUGAGAAACUGGCAACGUUGUUACCUAUAUGGGCCAGGCGCCGGAGAAAUGAUAAAGCUUUCCUGGAGAGUAUGAGAAUGAAUGUUUAUGAAUGAAUAAUUGAUUGCUCAGUUCGAGCAAUUACUGUGGCCCCCGAGUGGAUGUUUACAGUCUGAAACUGCUCACCUGCACAGACCUCCUAUGGAGACUUGCUAACUCCCCUUCUUUGGUACCUAAUAGACAAGGUUCUAGGUUCAGCAGGUUAGAAGACUCACACCGGAUCCCAGCGACACUGUGGAGUGUCGGGGUUGAGAGGACAACUCUCAGGAGUCAGUUCACCAUGUGGGAUCUAGAAUCACUACACAAGCAUCUCUACCUGCUGAGCCAUCUCUCCAGCCCCUCCUGAGAGACCGCUUAUAGACCCCUUUCUCUGCCUACUUGUUGAGCGGAGCUGUCAACAAAGCAGCCUCACAUUUGGUGACCCAGUGGGCGGCCACCAUGCAUGGUGUCCCACGGCAGAGUACUUCCCAGGUGGCUUGAGAAAACUACACUAGAGCUGCACCCAUGACUGCUACUGCAGCCACAAUGUCUGCUUUAGGAGGCCUCGCUACAGUACAGCAGCUGCACCAGCUUACAUUAGUAACAGGAAUGUCAAUCAACCUCAACAAGGCGCCUCUUCCUGUAGCAGUUCUCACUUAGGAUGGGGAGGCUAUAGGUGACUCAGGAAAAAAAGAAAGAAAGAAAGAAAGAAAGGAAGGAAGGAAGGAAGGAAGGAAGAAAAAAAAGAAAGAGAAAGAAAGAGAGAGAGAGAAAGAAAAAGCUGGUGAUUUGGAGCUUAUGCGAGGUUUGUGAUUGGUGCUUAAGUGAAGUUGAAGUGGGACUAGAAGCUCAUGUGAGGCUGUGAUUGGUAGAAUCACAAUCUAUUCACAGGCAUGUGUCACUGGUGAUGUAAGCAGAAUGAUUUCCACCCCUUUGAAGUUCAUUUUGGAAGAUUUUUCUCCCGAGGGCUGCAGCAUUGAGCCCAAUAAGACAUCUCUGAAUGCCCUUUGACUGAUGUGUUGUCUGUAUUAGUGGUAUAGUGGGCUGAACAAUCAGACUUAACAAUAGCAACCACAGAAAAGAGGCAGUUAAGAGGCCCA
RNAcentral lists this long non-coding RNA (1254 nucleotides) under Mus spicilegus (steppe mouse). RNAcentral describes it as "lncRNA (ENSMSIG00000012961.1)". The record is from RNAcentral. Lineage: Eukaryota; Metazoa; Chordata; Mammalia; Rodentia; Muridae.